Molecule: ribosomal RNA, 1541 nt
Filed under: Bacteroidia bacterium
Lineage: Bacteria; Pseudomonadati; Bacteroidota; Bacteroidia
Description: partial 23S ribosomal RNA
Rfam family: Bacterial large subunit ribosomal RNA
Source: RNAcentral
GAAAGAAAGGGCAGACGGUGGAUGCCUUGGCUCUUGGAGGCGAUGAAGGAUGUGAUAAGCUGCGAUAAGCUCGGGCAAGGUGCAAAUAACCAUUUGAACCCGAGAUUUCCGAAUGGGGCAACCUAAUAGAUUGAAGGUCUAUUACCGCUUUAAGCGGAGCAAACGUGGGGAACUGAAACAUCUAAGUACCCACAGGAAAAGAAAAUAAAUAAUGAUUGCGCAAGUAGUGGCGAGCGAACGCGCAGAAGCCCAAACCGGCGUUGUUUAGGCAAUACCGGGGUUGUAGGACCACGAUGUAGCAAGAAAUCGGGAAAGUGGAAUCAGCUGGAAAGUUGAAUCAUAGAGGGUGAAAAUCCCGUACACGACUUUUCGACGAAGCUUAGUGGUAUCCUGAGUAGUGCGGGACACGAGAAAUCCUGUACGAACCCGCGGGGACCAUCCCGCAAGGCUAAAUACAUCCAAGAGACCGAUAGUGAACCAGUACCGUGAGGGAAAGGUGAAAAGCACCUCGAAUAGAGGAGUGAAAUAGACCCUGAACCCGUCUGCCUACAAGCGGUCGGAGCGGAUUUAUCCGUGACGGCGUGCCUUUUGCAUAAUGAACCUACGAGUUACCAUCACCGGCAAGGUUAAGUGAUAUUAGUCACGGAGCCGAAGCGAAAGCGAGUCUGAACAGGGCGUCGUAGUCGGUGGGGGUAGACGCGAAACCAAGUGAUCUACCCAUGGUCAGAUUGAAGGUUGGGUAACACCAACUGAAGGAUCGAACCGAUAAGCGUUGAAAAGCUUCCGGAUGAACUGUGGGUAGGGGUGAAAGGCUAAUCAAACUUGGAGAUAGCUCGUACUCCCCGAAAUGCAUUUAGGUGCAGCGUUGUAAAUUUUUUAUGUCAGGUAGAGCGACUGAUUGGAUGCGAGGGCUUCACCGCCUAUCAAGUCCAGACAAACUCCGAAUGGGCAUAAAACUAAUUGCAGCAGUGAGGGCGCGGGUGCUAAGGUCCGUGUCCGAAAGGAGAAGAAUCCAGACUAUCAGCUAAGGUCCCCAAAUAUAUGCUAAGUUGAACUAACGAAGUCAGAGUACAAAGACAGCUAGGAUGUUGGCUUGGAAGCAGCCAUUCAUUUAAAGAGUGCGUAACAGCUCACUAGUCGAGUGCUCCGGCAUGGAUAAUAAUCGGGCAUAAGCAUAUUACCGAAGCUAUAGAAUUGACAAGUAAUUGUCAAUUGGUAGGGGAGCAUUCUAUUACAGCGUUGAAGAUACGUGGCGAUGCGUGUUGGAGCGGAUAGAAAAGCAAAUGUAGGUAUGAGUAACGAUAAUGCGGGCGAGAAACCCGCACGCCGAAAGACCAAGGUUUCCUGAUCAACGUUAAUCGAAUCAGGGUCAGUCGGGACCUAAGGAUAAGCCGAAAGGCGAAGCCGAUGGAAGAACCGGUUAAUAUUCCGGUACUACUGUGUAGAGAGAAGUGGGGACGGAGCAGUGAAACUUCCGCGAACUGACGGAAUAGUUCGUUAAAGGGUGUAGAUGUUGAGGUUUGCAGGCAAAUCCGCAGACU